CCUUGGUCUCGCCAAAUAUCAAAAUGUUUCAGAGAAAAUAUUUAUAUUUUAAAAUAUAAAAAAGGCGUGUUAUCCAGUUCCUCCCGUAUCCACGACUUCAGGAUGGAGAGGAGAAAAUGCUGUGGUUUGAUACCAUGGACCAUUAGUAUCUCCAUAAUAUUUCUUCUUAUUCAUACUGGACUUUUGGUCAUCAAUAUUUUCAUCUUAAAUAG
This is a long non-coding RNA of Eurytemora carolleeae, 212 nucleotides long. RefSeq lists it as uncharacterized. The record is from RefSeq and is a predicted model, not a curated record. NCBI's taxonomy places the organism in Eukaryota, Metazoa, Arthropoda, Copepoda, Calanoida, Temoridae. The transcript has 3 exons.